UUUCUCUUCGUAUCUUGGUUCUCAUUGUUCUUCAAUUUGAUAUGGUCUUUCAUCGCUCUUUUCAGCGUCUGAAGAAAUGCUUCAAUUUCUGCAAUAUGUCUAUGGACGCCCCAGAUGGAAAAGAGGUUAAGGGAAGCCGAAGGCCGGAUACGCGUUGCUCUCGAUCUCAAAGCCGGUCUUCAUCCUCUCAAGCUACGCAGAACAAUUGAUUUUGGAUCAGUAGACCAAUUCGAAGGUGCAUUUGUCAACAAUGAUCAAAAUGGAGAAGGGGUAUGUCCUGACUUAUAUUUCAUACACAGAUCUGACUGAUGUUCAUACGCACAAGGAAGAAGAUUCUCAUUAAAAAUGUUCGAGUUCAUUUUUCUUUUAUUGGGAUUAAAAAACUGAAGACCGACAAAUCUUAUGCCAUAGAAGCGGACAAGAACAACAAUAACAACAACCCAGUAAAAUUCUACUAGUGGGGUCUGGGGAGG
Molecule: non-coding RNA, 473 nt
Organism: Nicotiana tabacum (common tobacco)
Lineage: Eukaryota; Viridiplantae; Streptophyta; Magnoliopsida; Solanales; Solanaceae
Source: RefSeq, a predicted model, not a curated record